This 253-nucleotide ribosomal RNA is filed under the name uncultured bacterium. RNAcentral's name for it is "partial 16S ribosomal RNA". It matches the Rfam family "Bacterial small subunit ribosomal RNA", at positions 524 to 776 of the family's 1533-position model. The record is from RNAcentral.
UACAGAGGGGGCAAGCGUUGUUCGGAAUUACUGGGCGUAAAGGGCGCGUAGGCGGCCUUCUAAGUCGAACGUGAAAUCCCCGGGCUCAACCCGGGAACUGCGUCCGAUACUGGAAGGCUUGAAUCCGGGAGAGGGAUGCGGAAUUCCAGGUGUAGCGGUGAAAUGCGUAGAUAUCUGGAGGAACACCGGUGGCGAAGGCGGCAUCCUGGACCGGUAUUGACGCUGAGGUGCGAAAGCUAGGGGAGCAAACGGG